GACCAGGCUCCCCAAGUGUUUUUCAAUAUCUGUGGUUAAGGGCAUUAUAAUAUUCAUGCUGAAAUGUGGGUUUACACAAUGAAUGCUGACCUUUUUGUUCUCUUCAGAAUUUUGAAGAUUUCAGGUCUGCACAUGGCCCAAGGCACUAUUGCUGCUCACGUAUGCCGUCAGUUAUCUGCAGGCUCAUCCUGAGAGCUGGUCCUGCAGCUCCGGCUGCUGCUGCUGCUCCUGCUGGAUCCUCCUUCAGCUGCUCUGCCUCCUGGGCCAGCUCAGAGUGUACUUCCAUGAUGAAUAAUAUCAUCACCUGCUGCAGGACACUCUGUCAUUGAAGGUGGAGGCUUCAAGGAGGUUUGGUUCCCAGGCGUGGACCUAUACGACUCGUCGCCCAUGCUGUCGCAGCAACCCACAUACAAAAUAGAGGAAGAUUGGCAGCAGAUGUUAGCUCAGGACGAAUCUUCCUCAGCAAAAAAAUAAAAAUAAAAAUAAAUAAGAGAAGUGGACAGAACCUUGGAGAAUGCCAACAUUUUAGGGGGGAGCAGAGUGAGAGAAGAAAGAGGGCAACUGCAAAGAGCAGAUGUCAAGAGGCUGUGGAAUCAACGUGUCUUGAGAAAGCGGAGAUGGAGACUUCGACCACUUCUUUUCAAUUAGUUCGCUUCACCAUCUGGAUCACCAUUGGAGCGCUGAGAAGCCAGAAGGAGAGGUGGCCUCCAGAUGUCUCUAGGGAGCCAACCAGGUUUCUGACAUUUAAGCUCUGCCCCCGUAGAUUUCUUGCAGCACAAGGACUUUGGAAUAAAUAACGGUGGUUUCAAAAUUUGGGACCCUCUUCUCCUGCAUGUCAGCCUGGAUAUACUGGAGGAAAACACCAGCAUAAUGCCUGUUCCUAGGAAUUUAUGUUUCCAAUCACCUGAUCACCUAGCUUUAAAGCUGGUCUAGAAAAGAAAAAGAAAGUUGGAAUGGACCGUAUUUUAAGGAAAGGUUUUCAUUGGUGGAUUUAUCUACUGAUCAAAAUAUUUUGGGAUGAAUCACUUGCCUGCAGGAUGACUGAAUCCAGUAAAUGAAGAAAAGUGACCAAUGUUGUGAGGCUUCUGCAAUCGCAAAAUGACAACCCUUUAGCCUUUUCACUAGUGUCAUGUGAUGGUAGGUGAUCUAGACACCCAUCGAAGGAAAACCGUAAGUGAUUUAAUUUGUGAAUGCAAACUUUUCAAUUCCCUAAAUCUGCGUAAUCUCCAAGAAAUGGGUGGUAAGCAGGAAUAAGGGCUAGUGGUGAAAUACUAAAUAUAGAAGGGGUAACUGUCUCUGUCGCGUGCACUUCCCUUCUGGGUGGGAAUUCCAGUAAACUAGGCAGGGAGGAUUGCAUAGAGAGAAAAAGAGCAACAAGUGUGAAAAUCUGUGGGGUAGGCUUCAGGAACUACCAGUAAAUGAUUAUUCUACUGGUGAGGAUUCCCCUACUAAAAUCAAUCUCUCUAGAAGUUUCAGUCCCUUUGUGAAAUAAUACAGUGAGGAGGAAUACUAACUAAAGUCCCUCCACACUUGAGCAGACACUGUUUCUGAGGUUGCCACACACAGUUGUAG
Molecule: long non-coding RNA, 1572 nt
Filed under: Equus asinus (donkey)
Lineage: Eukaryota; Metazoa; Chordata; Mammalia; Perissodactyla; Equidae
Description: lncRNA (ENSEASG00005031625.1)
Source: RNAcentral